RNAcentral lists this ribosomal RNA (301 nucleotides) under uncultured bacterium. Its description in RNAcentral is "partial 16S ribosomal RNA". It matches the Rfam family "Bacterial small subunit ribosomal RNA", at positions 509 to 809 of the family's 1533-position model. The record is from RNAcentral.
CAGUAGCCGCGGGAAUACAGAGGGUGCGAGCGUUAAUCGGAUUUACUGGGCGUAAAGCGUGCGUAGGCGGCUUCUUAAGUCGGAUGUGAAAUCCCUGAGCUUAACUUAGGAAUUGCAUUCGAUACUGGGAAGCUAGAGUAUGGGAGAGGAUGGUAGAAUUCCAGGUGUAGCGGUGAAAUGCGUAGAGAUCUGGAGGAAUACCGAUGGCGAAGGCAGCCAUCUGGCCUAAUACUGACGCUGAGGUACGAAAGCAUGGGGAGCAAACAGGAUUAGAUACCCCUGUAGUCCUGUCUCUUAUACA